GGGCCUAUAGCUCAGAUGGUUAGAGCGCACGCCUGAUAAGCGUGAGGUCGAUGGUUCGAGUCCAUUUAGGCCCA
Molecule: transfer RNA, 74 nt
Filed under: Erwinia sp. CPCC 100877
Lineage: Bacteria; Pseudomonadati; Pseudomonadota; Gammaproteobacteria; Enterobacterales; Erwiniaceae
Description: tRNA-Ile
Rfam family: tRNA
About the family: Transfer RNA (tRNA) molecules are approximately 80 nucleotides in length. Their secondary structure includes four short double-helical elements and three loops (D, anti-codon, and T loops). Further hydrogen bonds mediate the characteristic L-shaped molecular structure. tRNAs have two regions of fundamental functional importance: the anti-codon, which is responsible for specific mRNA codon recognition, and the 3' end, to which the tRNAs corresponding amino acid is attached (by aminoacyl-tRNA synthetases). tRNAs cope with the degeneracy of the genetic code in two manners: having more than one tRNA (with a specific anti-codon) for a particular amino acid; and 'wobble' base-pairing, i.e. permitting non-standard base-pairing at the 3rd anti-codon position.
Source: RNAcentral